CCGACGGUGAGGGAUGAAACCUAGGGGCACGAACCGGAUUAGAUACCCGGGUAGUCCUAGGUGUAAACGCUGUGGACUUGAUGUUGGGGGCGCUCCGAGCGCUCUCAGUGUCGAAGCGAAGGUGAUAAGUCCACUGCCUGGGGAGUACGGUCGCAAGGCUGAAACUUAAAGGAAUUGGCGGGGGAGCACUGCAACCUGAGGAUUGUGCGGUUUAAUUGGAUUCAACGCCGGAAAACUCACCAUGGCCGACGGACAAAUGAAAGCCAGUGUAACGAGCUUGCUGGAUUGUUCGAGAGGUAUUGCAUGGCCGCCGUCAGUUCGUACCGCAAGGCGUUCUGUUAAGUCAGAUAACGAACGAGACCCUCAUCCCUAUUUGCCAGCUGCGUCUCCGGACGUAGCGCACUAUAGGGAGACCGCUGUCGAUAAGGCAGAUGAAGGCGAGGGCAACGGUAGGUCAGUAUGAUCCGAAUGCUAUGGGCUACACGCGCAAUACAAAGGACGGGACAAUGGGCUGCUGCUCCGAAAGGAACGAUAGCUAUCCCGAAACCCGUUCGUAGUUCGGAUUGAGGGCUGUAACUCGCCCUCAUGAAGCUGGAUUAGGUAGUAAUCGCGUCUCAAAAAGGCGCGGUGAAUAUGCCCCUGCUCCUUGUACACACCGCCCGU
This 663-nucleotide ribosomal RNA is filed under the name uncultured archaeon. Its description in RNAcentral is "bacterial SSU rRNA". It matches the Rfam family "Archaeal small subunit ribosomal RNA", at positions 691 to 1353 of the family's 1478-position model. The record is from RNAcentral.